CCGUCCAUAACUCAGCUGGAUUAGAGUAACGCACUUCUAAUGCGUAAGUCGGGGGUUCAAGUCCCUCUGGGCGGGCCA
RNAcentral lists this transfer RNA (78 nucleotides) under compost metagenome. RNAcentral's name for it is "tRNA-Arg". It matches the Rfam family "tRNA". Rfam says of the family: Transfer RNA (tRNA) molecules are approximately 80 nucleotides in length. The record is from RNAcentral.